This 422-nucleotide ribosomal RNA is filed under the name uncultured bacterium. RNAcentral's name for it is "partial 16S ribosomal RNA". It matches the Rfam family "Bacterial small subunit ribosomal RNA", at positions 362 to 776 of the family's 1533-position model. The record is from RNAcentral.
UUACGGGCAAUGGGUGCAAGCCUGAUCCAGCCACGCCGCUUGAGUUAAGAAGGUAUUCGGAUUGUAAAGCACUGUAAGUUGGGAGGAAGGGCAGUAAGUAAAUACCUGGCUGCUUUGACGUUACCGACAGAAUAAGCACCGUCUAACUUAGUCCCAGCAGCCGCGGUAAUACGAAGGGUUCAAGCGUUAAGCGGAAUUACUGGGCGUAAAGCGCGCGUAGGUGGUUCGUUAAGUUGGAUGAGAAAGCCCCGGGCUCAACCUGGGAAAUGCAUCCAAAACUGGCGAGCUAGAGUACGGUAGAGGGUGGUGGAAUAUCCUGUGUAGCGGUGAAAUGCGUAGAUAUAGGAAGGAACACCAGUGGCGAAGGCGACUACCUGGACUGAUACUGACACUGAGGCAUGAAAGCGUGGGUAGCAAACAGG